Molecule: ribosomal RNA, 459 nt
Filed under: uncultured bacterium
Lineage: Bacteria
Description: partial 16S ribosomal RNA
Rfam family: Bacterial small subunit ribosomal RNA
Source: RNAcentral
UCUACGGGGGGCAGCAGUGAGGAAUAUUGGUCAAUGGUCGGGAGACUGAACCAGCCAAGCCGCGUGAGGGAUGAAGGUACAGAGUAUCGUAAACCUCUUUUGUCAGGGAACAAAGGCGGGGACGCGUCCCCGGAUGAGUGUACCUGAAGAAAAAGCAUCGGCUAACGCCGUUCCAGCAGCCGCGGUAAUACGGGGGAUGCGAGCGUUAUCCGGAUUUAUUGGGGUUAAAGGGUGCGCAGGCGGUCUGUUAAGUCAGCGGGGAAGGCCCGGGGCGCACCCCCGGCCCGCCGUUGAAACUGGCAGUCGAGAGUUGGAGAGAAGUAUGCGGAAUGCGCGGUGUAGCGGUGAAAUGCAUAGAUAUCGCGCAGAACUCCGAUUGCGAAGGCAGCAUGCCGGCUCCACACUGACGCUGAGGCACGAAAGCGUGGGUAUCGAACAGGAUUAGAUACCCGGGUAGUC